RNAcentral lists this ribosomal RNA (358 nucleotides) under Pteridomonas danica. Its description in RNAcentral is "partial Bacterial small subunit ribosomal RNA". It matches the Rfam family "Bacterial small subunit ribosomal RNA", at positions 1152 to 1510 of the family's 1533-position model. Lineage: Eukaryota; Dictyochophyceae; Pedinellales. The record is from RNAcentral.
CCGGUGAUAAGCCGGAGGAAGGUGGGGAUGACGUCAAGUCCUCAUGGCCCUUAUGGACUGGGCUACACACGUGCUACAAUGGCGGCGACAGAGGGUUGCGAGCUCGCGAGAGCAAGCUAAUCCCCAAAAGCCGUCUCAGUUCGGAUUGUUCUCUGCAACUCGAGAGCAUGAAGGCGGAAUCGCUAGUAAUCGCGGAUCAGCAUGCCGCGGUGAAUACGUUCCCAGGCCUUGUACACACCGCCCGUCACACCAUGGGAGUGGGUUGCAAAAGAAGUGGGUAGCAUAACCUUCGGGAGUGCGCUCACCACUUUGUGAUUCAUGACUGGGGUGAAGUCGAAACAAGGUAGCCGUAGGGGAA